This 301-nucleotide ribosomal RNA is filed under the name uncultured bacterium. RNAcentral describes it as "partial 16S ribosomal RNA". It matches the Rfam family "Bacterial small subunit ribosomal RNA", at positions 509 to 807 of the family's 1533-position model. The record is from RNAcentral.
CAGUCGCCGCGGGAAUACAGAGGAUGCAAGCGUUAUCCGGAAUGAUUGGGCGUAAAGGGCUCGCGGGCGGUUUCAUAAGUCUGAUGUGAAAGCCCCCGGCUCAACCGGGGAGGGUCAUUGGAAACUGGGAAACUUGAGUGCAGAAGAGGAGAGUGGAAUUCCACGUGUAGCGGUGAAAUGCGUAGAGAUUAGGAGGAACACCAGUGGCGAAGGCGGCUUUUUGGCCUGUAACUGACGCUCAUGCACGAAAGCGUGGGGAGCAAACAGGAUUAGAUACCCGCGUAGUCCCUGUCUCUUAUAC